AACAAGGCGUACCUGCGGACCUGCGGAGGGAUCAUUAUCCAUCCAAAACCAGCUGCGGUCGCGGCCCCACGCUUACCCGUGGCGGUACGCGCCGCACGUCUGCACCCUUUUUUUACGAGUACCUUCGUUCUCCCUCGGCAGGGCAACCUGCCGUUGGAACCAUACAAAACCUUUUUUUGCAUCUAGCAUUACCUGUUCUGAUACAAACAAUCGUUACAACUUUUAACAAUGGAUCUCAGA
This 240-nucleotide unclassified non-coding RNA is filed under the name soil metagenome. Its description in RNAcentral is "partial contains 5.8S ribosomal RNA, internal transcribed spacer 2, and large subunit ribosomal RNA". The record is from RNAcentral.